GUCGUCUUAGCUCAGUUGGGAGAGCGUCGUAUGUGUAAUCUGAAGGUCGUGUGUUCAAUCCACACAGACGACA
This 73-nucleotide transfer RNA is filed under the name Fonsecaea multimorphosa CBS 102226. Its description in RNAcentral is "tRNA-Thr (TGT) (tRNA-Thr-TGT-1-1)". Lineage: Eukaryota; Fungi; Ascomycota; Eurotiomycetes; Chaetothyriales; Herpotrichiellaceae. The record is from RNAcentral.